RNAcentral lists this ribosomal RNA (484 nucleotides) under uncultured bacterium. RNAcentral describes it as "partial 16S ribosomal RNA". It matches the Rfam family "Bacterial small subunit ribosomal RNA", at positions 30 to 507 of the family's 1533-position model. The record is from RNAcentral.
AUUGAACGCUGGCGGCAGGCCUAACACAUGCAAGUCGAGCGGAUGAAGGGAGCUUGCUCCUGGAUUCAGCGGCGGACGGGUGAGUAAUGCCUAGGAAUCUGCCUGGUAGUGGGGGAUAACGUCCGGAAACGGGCGCUAAUACCGCAUACGUCCUGAGGGAGAAAGUGGGGGAUCUUCGGACCUUACGCUAUCAGAUGAGCCUAGGUCGGAUUAGCUAGUUGGUGGGGUAAAGGCCUACCAAGGCGACGAUCCGUAACUGGUCUGAGAGGAUGAUCAGUCACACUGGAACUUAGACACGGUCCAGACUCCUACGGGAGGCAGCAGUGGGGAAUAUUGGACAGUGGGCGAAAGCCUGAUCCAGCCAUGCCGCGUGUGUGAAGAAGGUCUUCGGAUUGUAAAGCACUUUAAGUUGGGAGGAAGGGCAGUAAGUUAAUACCUUGCUGUUUUGACGUUACCAACAGAAUAAGCACCGGCUAACUUCGUG